UGAGCAAUCUGCCCUUCACAUCGGAAUAACCAUUGGAAACGAUGGCUAAUACCGAAUAUGACUUCGGAUCGCAUGAUCUGAAGUGGAAAGCUCCGGCGGUGAAGGAUGAGCUCGCGGCCUAUCAGCUUGUUGGUGAGGUAAUAGCUCACCAAGGCGAUGACGGGUAGCCGGCCUGAGAGGGUGACCGGCCACACGUGGGACUGAGACACCGGCAGA
Molecule: ribosomal RNA, 216 nt
Filed under: uncultured bacterium
Lineage: Bacteria
Description: partial 16S ribosomal RNA
Rfam family: Bacterial small subunit ribosomal RNA
Source: RNAcentral